AAUCUCCCACCCCAAGCGGUUUUUGAAUGUGAAACGGCUUGGCGGAUGGGGUCUGGAUGGGUGCCUCUGCCUGUGCUAAACCUUAGCCCACAGGCUCGCCCGAAAUGCAUGAGCGCCUUGGGACACUUUGCAUCCGCCUCUCUUGUGGGAGGAGGCGGCCAAGCAGUGUUUUUCUCCAGGCAUGGCAUGAUUCGUCAGUUGCUAUGUCGCCCAAUGGAGGAAUGUUUGGUUGUGUCUGCGUGUGCUUCGAACUUGCCUCUGUGCAAAUAUCCCCUUUCAC
RNAcentral lists this unclassified non-coding RNA (280 nucleotides) under uncultured Malassezia. RNAcentral describes it as "sequence contains ITS2". The record is from RNAcentral. Lineage: Eukaryota; Fungi; Basidiomycota; Malasseziomycetes; Malasseziales; Malasseziaceae.